GAGACACUAGUAAAACAGAUAUUACAUUACCUUGUCAAGGUAAAAUUGCGGGUUAAAACCCCACGUGUCUUA
Molecule: transfer RNA, 72 nt
Filed under: Thaumatichthys pagidostomus
Lineage: Eukaryota; Metazoa; Chordata; Actinopteri; Lophiiformes; Thaumatichthyidae
Also listed under: 1 other name
Description: tRNA-Asp
Rfam family: tRNA
About the family: Transfer RNA (tRNA) molecules are approximately 80 nucleotides in length.
Source: RNAcentral